RNAcentral lists this ribosomal RNA (456 nucleotides) under Galeomma turtoni. Its description in RNAcentral is "partial 16S ribosomal RNA". It matches the Rfam family "Bacterial large subunit ribosomal RNA", at positions 1832 to 2595 of the family's 2925-position model. Lineage: Eukaryota; Metazoa; Mollusca; Bivalvia; Galeommatida; Galeommatidae. The record is from RNAcentral.
UUAGAAUAUUUUUAUUAAGGGUUGGGCCUGCCCGGUGAUUUAUUUAACGGCCGCAGUUAGGAGCUGUGCUAAGGUAGCGUAGUAAGUUGUCCUUUAAAUGGGGAAAGGAAUGAAUGGUUUGACGUGGGAGAGUCUGUCUCUAAUGAAAGAAAUGAAUUUUUCUUUUCGGUGAAAAGCCCGAAAUAAAAUUAAAAGACGAGAAGACCCUUUCGAGCUUGAUUAAGUUUUUAAGAUUUUAAGAAUGAAAGUUUGGUUGGGGCAACUAAGGAGCAAAAUUAGACUCCUUUUGGUUUGAAGAUCCAAAAAUUUUGAAUAAAGAAAAAGCUACCGUAGGGAUAACAGCGUUAUCUUUUCUGAGAGAACAAAUUGAAGAAAAGGUUUGCGACCUCGAUGUUGAAUUAAAGUUUCCGCUAGGCGUAGAAGCUUAAAUGGUAAGACUGUUCGUCUUUUAAAGCU